GAGCGAGGGCUCCGGCCCGACCUCCAACCCUUUGUGAAUCAAAACCUGUUGCUUCGGGGGCGACCCUGCCGUUCGCGGCGCGGCGCCCCCGGGGGAAAUCAAACACUGCGUCAAUUUGUGUCGGAGUAGUCGUUAAUAAACAAAACUUUCAACAACGGAUCUCUUGGUUCUGGCAUCGAUGAAGAACGCAGCGAAAUGCGAUAAGUAAUGUGAAUUGCAGAAUUCAGUGAAUCAUCGAAUCUUUGAACGCACAUUGCGCCCCGUGGCAUUCCGCGGGGCAUGCCUGUUCGAGCGUCAUUUCACCACUCGAGUCUGACUCGGUAUUGGGCGCCGCGUUUCGAUGCGCGCCUUAAAGUUUCCGGCUGGACCGUCCGUCUCCGAGCGUUGUGGCAUCUGUCUCGCUAGGGAGUCGCGGAGGGCGUUGGCCGUUAAACACCCCAUCAAAGGUUGACCUCGGAUCAGGUAGGGAUACCCGCUGAACUUAAGCAUAUCAAUAAGCGGAGGAA
RNAcentral lists this small RNA (506 nucleotides) under Mycosphaerella musae. RNAcentral's name for it is "eukaryotic LSU rRNA". The stretch from base 144 to 297 matches the Rfam family "5.8S ribosomal RNA". The record is from RNAcentral. Lineage: Eukaryota; Fungi; Ascomycota; Dothideomycetes; Mycosphaerellales; Mycosphaerellaceae.